Long non-coding RNA from Cydia splendana, 105 nucleotides. RefSeq lists it as uncharacterized. The record is from RefSeq and is a predicted model, not a curated record. The transcript is spliced from 2 exons. Lineage: Eukaryota; Metazoa; Arthropoda; Insecta; Lepidoptera; Tortricidae.
UUUCGGUGAAGAAAAUCAUCGUGAGGAAACCGGACUAAUCCUAAUAAGGUCUAGCCUAGUUUACCCUCUGGGUUGGAAGGUCAGAUGGCAGUCGCUUUCGUAAAA